This 50-nucleotide transfer RNA is filed under the name Akkermansia sp. Its description in RNAcentral is "tRNA-Leu". It matches the Rfam family "tRNA", at positions 25 to 71 of the family's 71-position model. Rfam says of the family: Transfer RNA (tRNA) molecules are approximately 80 nucleotides in length. Their secondary structure includes four short double-helical elements and three loops (D, anti-codon, and T loops). The record is from RNAcentral. Lineage: Bacteria; Pseudomonadati; Verrucomicrobiota; Verrucomicrobiia; Verrucomicrobiales; Akkermansiaceae.
CAUCCUUGGUAAGGAUGAGGUCGCGGGUUCAAUUCCCGCCAGAAGCUCCA